GAUGAACGCUGGCGGCGUGCCUAAUACAUGCAAGUCGAGCGAACAGAUAAGGAGCUUGCUCCUUUGACGUUAGCGGCGGACGGGUGAGUAACACGUGGGUAACCUACCUAUAAGACUGGAAUAACUCCGGGGAAACCGGGGUAAAUGCGGAAAAACAUUAAAAACGCCUUGGUCUUAAAGGGAAAAUUGUUUUUGUUUCCACUAUAAGAUGAACCGCGCCGUAUUAGGUAGUUGGUAAGGUAACGGCUUACCAAGGGAAAGAUACGUAGCCGACCUGAGAGGGUGAUCGGCCACACUGGAACUGAGACACGGUCCAGACUCCUACGGGAGGCAGCAGUAGGGAAUCUUCCGCAAUGGGCGAAAGCCUGACGGAGCAACGCCGCGUGAGUGAUGAAGGUCUUCGGAUCGUAAAACUCUGUUAUUAGGGAAGAACAAAUGUGUAAGUAACUGUGCACGUCUUGACGGUACCUAAUCAGAAAGCCACGGCUAACUACGUG
This 497-nucleotide ribosomal RNA is filed under the name uncultured bacterium. RNAcentral's name for it is "partial 16S ribosomal RNA". It matches the Rfam family "Bacterial small subunit ribosomal RNA", at positions 28 to 507 of the family's 1533-position model. The record is from RNAcentral.